UACGAGGGGGGCAAAUGUUGUUCGGAAUCACUGGGCGUAAAGGGAGCGUAGGCGGGUUUUAAGUCAGGUGUUUAAUCCCGGGGCCCAACCCCGGACAGGCACUUGAAACUGGGAAUCUUGAAUAGUGGAGAGGUCAGUGGAAUUGGGGGUGUAGCGGUGGAAUGCGUAGAGAUCGGGAGGAACACCGGUGGCGAAGGCGGCGAUCUGGGUCGAUACUGACGCUGAGGUGCGAAAGCGUGGGGAGCGAACAGG
RNAcentral lists this ribosomal RNA (252 nucleotides) under uncultured bacterium. RNAcentral's name for it is "partial 16S ribosomal RNA". It matches the Rfam family "Bacterial small subunit ribosomal RNA", at positions 524 to 776 of the family's 1533-position model. The record is from RNAcentral.